UGGGGAAUUUUGGACAAUGGGCGCAAGCCUGAUCCAGCAAUGCCGCGUGCAGGAUGAAGGCCUUCGGGUUGUAAACUGCUUUUGUACGAGACGAAAAGACUCGCUCUAAUACAGUGGGUACAUGACGGUAUCGUAAGAAUAAGCACCGGCUAACUACGUGCCAGCAGCCGCGGUAAUACGUAGGGUGCAAGCGUUAAUCGGAAUUACUGGGCGUAAAGCGUGCGCAGGCGGUUUUGUAAGACAGAGGUGAAAUCCCCGGGCUCAACCUGGGAACUGCCUUUGUGACUGCAAAGCUAGAGUGCGGCAGAGGGGGAUGGAAUUCCGCGUGUAGCAGUGAAAUGCGUAGAUAUGCGGAGGAACACCGAUGGCGAAGGCAAUCCCCUGGGCCUGCACUGACGCU
RNAcentral lists this ribosomal RNA (400 nucleotides) under uncultured bacterium. RNAcentral describes it as "bacterial SSU rRNA". It matches the Rfam family "Bacterial small subunit ribosomal RNA", at positions 355 to 747 of the family's 1533-position model. The record is from RNAcentral.